This 347-nucleotide ribosomal RNA is filed under the name uncultured bacterium. RNAcentral describes it as "bacterial SSU rRNA". It matches the Rfam family "Bacterial small subunit ribosomal RNA", at positions 28 to 372 of the family's 1533-position model. The record is from RNAcentral.
GAUGAACGCUAGCGGCAGGCUUAAUACAUGCAAGUCGUGGGGCAGCAUGAGUAGCAAUACUUGAUGGCGACCGGCAAACGGGUGCGGAACACGUACACAACCUUCCUUCAAGCGGGGAAUAGCCCAGAGAAAUUUGGAUUAAUACCCCAUAAAAUAUAAAAAUGGCAUCAUUAUAUAUUAAAGACUUCGGCACUUGAUGAUGGGUGUGCGGCUGAUUAGAUAGUUGGCGAGGUAACGGCUCACCAAGUCUACGAUCAGUAGCUGAUGUGAGAGCAUGAUCAGCCACACGGGCACUGAGACACGGGCCCGACUCCUACGGGAGGCAGCAGUAAGGAAUAUUGGACAAU